CAGUAGCCGCGGGAAUACGAAGGGGGCUAGCGUUGUUCGGAAUCACUGGGCGUAAAGGGUGCGUAGGCUGGUUCUUAAGUCAGGGGUGAAAUCCCGAGGCUCAACCUCGGAACUGCCUUUGAUACUGGGGAUCUUGAGUCCGGAAGAGGUGAGUGGAACUGCGAGUGUAGAGGUGAAAUUCGUAGAUAUUCGCAAGAACACCGGUGGCGAAGGCGGCUCACUGGUCCGGAACUGACGCUGAGGCACGACAGCGUGGGGAGCAAACAGGAUUAGAUACCCGGGUAGUCCCUGUCUCUUAUAC
Molecule: ribosomal RNA, 301 nt
Filed under: uncultured bacterium
Lineage: Bacteria
Description: partial 16S ribosomal RNA
Rfam family: Bacterial small subunit ribosomal RNA
Source: RNAcentral